UUAUUAUUAUUAUUAUUAUUAUUAUUAUUAUUAUGGCUUAAUUUAAAGUUUAAACAACCAAUUUUCACUCUUCAAACAACAGCGUUCUUCUGUUUUGUUUUUGUUUUUUUUUUUCAUUUUUAUCCAAUUUUUAGGUUUAGGGUUUUAGGAUUUUUGAGUUUACUUCUAGAAGAGAUGGUGGCGGUUUUAUUUGUGUGAUGGUGUAGCAAUGGAUACGGUAAACCAGCGGGGACUGCUAGCGAGACCGUAUGGAGAUGAAGAUGAUGAUGGGGUAUUUGAGGCAAAAGACAUUAACGGAGCUCACGAGAUGGCCAUGAAUGGAGUGGUGAGUUUAGUAAGCCGCCAUGGGAAUGGAGUUGGAGGAGGAGGCGGUUUUCAUACGACUCGAACCAGUGAACUCACCAUCGCUUUUGAGGGCGAGGUCUAUAUCUUCCCUGCAGUUGCUUCGGAAAAGAUUUCACAGGUGCAAGCAGUUUUAUUACUACUGGGAGUACAUGAUGCAUCAAUUAAUGUGCCCAGCUCAGCAUUUCUACAAGAAGAAAAGCUCAAGGUUGUAGUUGAUUCUUCACGAGGCUUGGAGUUUUCACAAAGAAUUGCCUCCCUAUUACGAUUCCGUGAAAAGAGGAAAGAGAGAUGCUUUGAAAAGAAAAUUCAUUAUACUUGCCGAAAAGAGGUUGCUCAGAGUUUUCUAAGUGCACUUCAAAUUUGCUUGUCUGCUGGGAUGCAUUGUAAGAAUGGACAGUUUGCAUCAUUGAAGGAGUGCUACAACUCAGCUGAUGGAAGCAGUGAUCAAAUUUGCAUAGAUGUCAACAUUGUGGGGUAAGUGAAAAGUUAACUCCAGCAAUGCGUAGGGGGCCAGCUGGCCCCAUAACACUUUGCAAUGCUUGCGGCCUUAUGUGGGCAAACAAAGUAUGUGUAGAAUGGUUGUAAGUUGCUAUAGUUUAAGCUUCUUUUCUCAGUUACUUAUAAUUAUUUUUUGAUGACAUAAUUAUGUAUGGUUGGAGACAUUCAAACUUGAAUUUCAUUUGGUUAAGAAGUUUUCGGAUUUUGACAGAUUUUGUUGGUUGGUGGGUGAUGAUACUUUUUUUGUAACACUUGUAGGUAUAAACUAUGACAAGUCUAACUUGAGAUAACCAUCUAUGUUACUGUCAUUAUUAGAUUUUCAAUUAUUUGAGGAUUGAUUUUCCUUCUAUUGGGAGGAGUCUACUUUCUUACCUUCUUCGUAUCUGUUCUGGACACAACAUUCAUUUAAAUUAUCAUUGGAUACAGGCUAGUGUACCAAUGUGGCUACUGUUGAUUUAAUAUGGCUAAUUAGAUUAUGACAUUAUUUUAAAGAAAGAGUGGACUGUUGAAAGUAUGGCCAAAGUUACGAGUACUCUUGGCUCUAAUAGUGCACUUGAUAUGCAAUUAGAUGGUGCUGAUUGGUAGUUUUGGAAAGGGAAGAAAAUGGAUAAAACAUACAUGUGGAUAAAUUUGUGAAAACACAUGAACUUACAUGCUCUUCUCCCCAUAGAGGAGGAAUUGAGGUAAAUUGCAGUGGCUCUGCUCUACAUUUCUUAUCGAAUCUCUUUAGCAUGAUAACUUCGUUUUGUAAUUGACCUGGAUCUUUCCCCAUACUGAAUUUCCUACUAUGCAGUAGGAGCUUUCCUUCUCAAGUAGAUGCUUCAGUAUCCAUAAAGUUAAUACGAGUCUUUUUGGGCAGCUUACCAUGUUGUUCUUUAUAUUUUUUAUUUCAAGGGAACACUGAGAGAUCUUAGAAAAGAAGGGGGGAAUGCUCACUUUGAUCCAAAUGAGCUGGUAUGUAUAUGGAGAUACUGAUGUGUUCUUGUUCACUACCAUAGGUUUAAAAUUCUUCACUUAAUUUAACAAUCUAAUUUCAGUUGUAAUUAUUGUUCUUUUUAGUUGUGAACCAACUAGACAUUUUAUUCAUUUCAGAAAUAAGUCUCUUUAUCUCACAGGAAACUCCAACUGAUAUUAAGCCUUCAACCAUGGAACCAGAAAAUUCUUUUGCCAAGGAUGAUGAGCAGUUAUUGGUCUCCUUUGAUCAGUUACGACAAACAUGAAUCUAAAAUAUUUUCAAGUAUGGAGUUUGAUGAUGCACUAAGCUUUAUGCAUUUACCUUUAGCUAGGUUUUUUGUUGGUUGUCCCAUCUAAUGUACUUUUGUUUCAUCAAUAGAAGCAUUGUUAACUGUGAAACACAGACCAUUGAUGCUUCAUCCUGGCAUGGCUCUAGGGACUUUCCAUUUUCUAUCAUCAGGGAAGCCCAGAGGAGACCAAACCUGUACCUUUGGAUUCUGAAAAUGAUUUGAUAAGAUCUAACAGGCAGUAGUGACAAUCAAAGUGAGUUCUUUAUAAGCCAUAUUAUGUUGUCUUCUUGCUGCACACGCUGCAGAGGUUCAAUAGCUCGAUUUUUCAGUUUGCAGGAAUUUGCAGCAAAUUCACAUCCUUUCCCCAUCCAAGGGGAGUAUUCCUCGGUCAACCUUGAUGAUGAGGUAUUGUGUUGGUUACAAGCAAUUUAUUUUAUUUUAUUUUCUUGUUUUGGCCAAAGGAAGCAAUUUUAGUUUAAUGGGUUUGAUGGCAACGAUGUAUUAGCUUUGAUGUUAAGUAGUAAUAUCGUUCUCUUAAAUAAUUGCAUAAGGGAGAGAUUAUGUCUCCUUUUGUGCUGAACAUUCGUGAGGAGCUCUCAAAGGCGUACUUUACUCUCCAAGUAAGUUUGUCUACAUGCAUCAGGACA
This is a non-coding RNA of Durio zibethinus, 2734 nucleotides long. The record is from RefSeq and is a predicted model, not a curated record. NCBI's taxonomy places the organism in Eukaryota, Viridiplantae, Streptophyta, Magnoliopsida, Malvales, Malvaceae.